GGACUACCGGGGUAUCUAAUCCUGUUCGCUCCCCACGCUUUCGCUCCUCAGCGUCAGUAUCGGCCCAGAGACCCGCCUUCGCCACCGGUGUUCCUCCUGAUAUCUGCGCAUUUCACCGCUACACCAGGAAUUCCAGUCUCCCCUACCGAACUCUAGCCCGCCCGUAUCGACUGCAGGCCCAGGGUUAAGCCCCGAGUUUUCACAGUCGACGCGACGAGCCGCCUACGAGCUCUUUACGCCCAAUAAAUCCGGACAACGCUCGCACCCUACGUCUUACCGCGGCUGCUGGCAC
Molecule: ribosomal RNA, 292 nt
Filed under: uncultured bacterium
Lineage: Bacteria
Description: partial 16S ribosomal RNA
Source: RNAcentral